ACCUGACUGAACACAGAAUGAGAGAGGAAGACUCCUGAAUAUAUUUUCAGCACUAAGGGGCAAGGAUGAACCUUCAUCUUUGAACAGUGAAAAAAAGUGGCUAUGGUGCUAUAACAGAAGAUCUAGUUAAAGUCUACCUUCAGCUGUGCACUCAUGCCUUGAUCAGGUUCCAUUUGGAUUACCGCACUGCACUCUAUAUGAGGCUUGAAGAUCACCCAGAAAAACUUCAAUCGGUCCAGAACACAGCACUGCACACAGUAACGGGGACCCCAGGCUUUCCCAUGUAUCACCUUUACUGCACGAACUGCACUGGUUUUGUCAGCGCAAAAGAUCAGAUCCACACAUGAAGGUCCAAUUAAACUGAUUUAUUGCUAAUCGUGCUUAUGCACAGGAA
This is a long non-coding RNA of Pantherophis guttatus, 394 nucleotides long. RefSeq lists it as uncharacterized. Lineage: Eukaryota; Metazoa; Chordata; Lepidosauria; Squamata; Colubridae. The record is from RefSeq and is a predicted model, not a curated record.